UUGGAUGGCCAGAAUCCAGAAACUGAAUGGC
Molecule: non-coding RNA, 31 nt
Filed under: Rattus norvegicus (Norway rat)
Lineage: Eukaryota; Metazoa; Chordata; Mammalia; Rodentia; Muridae
Source: RNAcentral